CGGAAAUUGGCAGCAGCUGUCAGUCGCAAGAAUGUGGAGUAAACACUUUUUACUGGAUAAGAAGAAGAACGGUCAUUUACUUCAUAAGAAACAAAUCUGCUUUUUCGGUUUCUGUCCAAACAAUCACCUGGCUUACCGUCCACCUGACACGCCGGCCUCUGAAACUGAAGCAAGCAGGCGAGGAACCAAAGGAAGCAUUGGAGAAGGAAGCUAUGUAGUUUGCUGAUGUUUCGUCUCGUCUUACAGAACACAUUGCCACAAAACAAGAACAAGACAAAAAAAAAAAAAACCUCCCGGAAAAGCAGCCGUCAAUCUCCAAAGAUGAAGCCACGUUCAUCUGAAAGUGUCAAACUUCUUGAAGUGUAAACAAAUGCUAAGUAGCUUAAAACUUCUGCACUGAACCAUAUUUUAUGACAAAACUGAUUUGCAUCCUGGAAACUGUGUGUGUUAUUGUCCGGUGUUGGCUUCGGCUGUCGCCGGGUUUCCUCUGUCAGCUCAAGUAAUUGUUUCCUAGCAGCAUGGGGGUCUCAUCAUGGAGUUUGUUGCUGAGGCCAUCAAAGGACGGAGCGGUGGAUUUUUAAAACCUCUAAUCUGGUCCAUGACCCCUCGCCAGGAACCGUAGUGAACCUGUGCUUUACUGCUUCCCUUCGGAGGAAGAACACAAUCACCUCCGCGGCGAAGAAAGACGGAAAAAGGGAUGGAAUAAAACAUGAGGCCGUCUUUUGAUGUGAGACUCAAACGUGGUCUGUGUAGCCGGAAGGGCUUGAAGUGAAUGGUAAUAUCUCAACACCUCUUAUAAUAAAUUACAAAUAUUAAAAACAGUAAUUUAACACACGUAUAUUCAGCCGCCUUAAUAUCCCUCAAUCAUUUUUUUUUUGCCACAACCAGUUGUUGUAUAAUUUGAUUUCAAUAUAUUUAAAAAAAAAAAAAU
Long non-coding RNA from Poecilia latipinna (sailfin molly), 931 nucleotides. RefSeq lists it as uncharacterized. The transcript has 3 exons. Lineage: Eukaryota; Metazoa; Chordata; Actinopteri; Cyprinodontiformes; Poeciliidae. The record is from RefSeq and is a predicted model, not a curated record.